Molecule: ribosomal RNA, 448 nt
Filed under: uncultured bacterium
Lineage: Bacteria
Description: bacterial SSU rRNA
Rfam family: Bacterial small subunit ribosomal RNA
Source: RNAcentral
GAGCGGAUGAGAAGAGCUUGCUCUUCGAUUCAGCGGCGGACGGGUGAGUAAUGCCUAGGAAUCUGCCUGGUAGUGGGGGACAACGUUUCGAAAGGAACGCUAAUACCGCAUACGUCCUACGGGAGAAAGCAGGGGACCUUCGGGCCUUGCGCUAUCAGAUGAGCCUAGGUCGGAUUAGCUAGUUGGUGAGGUAAUGGCUCACCAAGGCGACGAUCCGUAACUGGUCUGAGAGGAUGAUCAGUCACACUGGAACUGAGACACGGUCCAGACUCCUACGGGAGGCAGCAGUGGGGAAUAUUGGACAAUGGGCGAAAGCCUGAUCCAGCCAUGCCGCGUGUGUGAAGAAGGUCUUCGGAUUGUAAAGCACUUUAAGUUGGGAGGAAGGGCAUUAACCUAAUACGUUAGUGUUUUGACGUUACCGACAGAAUAAGCACCGGCUAACUCUGUG